RNAcentral lists this ribosomal RNA (252 nucleotides) under uncultured bacterium. RNAcentral describes it as "partial 16S ribosomal RNA". It matches the Rfam family "Bacterial small subunit ribosomal RNA", at positions 524 to 776 of the family's 1533-position model. The record is from RNAcentral.
UACGUAGGGUGAGCGUUGUCCGGAAUUAUUGGGCGUAAAGAGCUCGUAGGCGGUCUGUCGCGUCGGUCGUGAAAACUUGGGGCUUAACCCUGAGCUUGCGGUCGAUACGGGCAUGACUGGAGUUCGGCAGGGGAGACUGGAAUUCCUGGUGUAGCGGUGAAAUGCGCAGAUAUCAGGAGGAACACCGGUGGCGAAGGCGGGUCUCUGGGACGUUACUGACGCUGAGACGCGAAAGCGUGGGGAGCAAACAGG